RNAcentral lists this ribosomal RNA (578 nucleotides) under Streptomyces coelicoflavus. RNAcentral describes it as "bacterial SSU rRNA". It matches the Rfam family "Bacterial small subunit ribosomal RNA", at positions 1 to 591 of the family's 1533-position model. The record is from RNAcentral. Lineage: Bacteria; Bacillati; Actinomycetota; Actinomycetes; Kitasatosporales; Streptomycetaceae.
CAUUCACGGAGAGUUUGAUCCUGGCUCAGGACGAACGCUGGCGGCGUGCUUAACACAUGCAAGUCGAACGAUGAACCACCUUCGGGUGGGGAUUAGUGGCGAACGGGUGAGUAACACGUGGGCAAUCUGCCCUUCACUCUGGGACAAGCCCUGGAAACGGGGUCUAAUACCGGAUACUGACCUGCCAAGGCAUCUUGGCGGGUCGAAAGCUCCGGCGGUGAAGGAUGAGCCCGCGGCCUAUCAGCUUGUUGGUGAGGUAAUGGCUCACCAAGGCGACGACGGGUAGCCGGCCUGAGAGGGCGACCGGCCACACUGGGACUGAGACACGGCCCAGACUCCUACGGGAGGCAGCAGUGGGGAAUAUUGCACAAUGGGCGAAAGCCUGAUGCAGCGACGCCGCGUGAGGGAUGACGGCCUUCGGGUUGUAAACCUCUUUCAGCAGGGAAGAAGCGAAAGUGACGGUACCUGCAGAAGAAGCGCCGGCUAACUACGUGCCAGCAGCCGCGGUAAUACGUAGGGCGCAAGCGUUGUCCGGAAUUAUUGGGCGUAAAGAGCUCGUAGGCGGCUUGUCACGUCGG